Molecule: ribosomal RNA, 510 nt
Filed under: uncultured bacterium
Lineage: Bacteria
Description: partial 16S ribosomal RNA
Rfam family: Bacterial small subunit ribosomal RNA
Source: RNAcentral
GACGAACGCUGGCGGCGUGCUUAACACAUGCAAGUCGAACGAAGAGCGAUGGAAGCUUGCUUCUAUCAAUCUUAGUGGCGAACGGGUGAGUAACGCGUAAUCAACCUGCCCUUCAGAGGGGGACAACAGUUGGAAACGACUGCUAAUACCGCAUACGAUCUAAUCUCGGCAUCGAGGAUAGAUGAAAGGUGGCCUCUACAUGUAAGCUAUCACUGAAGGAGGGGAUUGCGUCUGAUUAGCUAGUUGGAGGGGUAACGGCCCACCAAGGCGAUGAUCAGUAGCCGGUCUGAGAGGAUGAACGGCCACAGUGGGACUGAGACACGGCCCAGACUCCUACGUGAGGCAGCAGUGGGGAAUCUUCCGCAAUGGACGAAAGUCUGACGGAGCAACGCCGCGUGAGUGAUGACGGCCUUCGGGUUGUAAAGCUCUGUUAAUCGGGACGAAAGGCCUUCUUGCGAAUAGUGAGAAGGAUUGACGGUACCGGAAUAGAAAGCCACGGCUAACUACGUG